CCUACGGGGGGCAGCAGUGGGGGAUAUUGCACAAUGGGGGGAACCCUGAUGCAGCGACGCCGCGUGGGUGAAGAAGCGCCUCGGCGCGUAAAGCCCUGUCAGCAGGGAAGAAAAUGACGGUACCUGAAGCAGAACCCCCGGCUAACUUCGUGCCAGCAGCCGCGGGAAUCCGUAGGGGGCAAGCGUUAUCCGGAUUUACUGGGUGUAAAGGGGGCGCAGACGGCGAUGCAAGCCAGGAGGGAAAGCCCGGGGGCCAACCCCGGGACUGCUCUUGAAACUGGGUUGCUGGAGUGGAGGAGGGGCAGGCGGAAUGCGUGGUGUAGCGGUGAAAUGCGUAGAUAUCAGGAGGAACACCGGUGGCGAAGGCGGCCUGCUGGACUCCAACUGACGUUGAGGCCCGAAAGCGUGGGGAGCAAACAGGAUUAGAUACCCGUGUAGUC
This 440-nucleotide ribosomal RNA is filed under the name uncultured bacterium. RNAcentral describes it as "partial 16S ribosomal RNA". It matches the Rfam family "Bacterial small subunit ribosomal RNA", at positions 338 to 795 of the family's 1533-position model. The record is from RNAcentral.